Molecule: ribosomal RNA, 407 nt
Filed under: uncultured bacterium
Lineage: Bacteria
Description: partial 16S ribosomal RNA
Rfam family: Bacterial small subunit ribosomal RNA
Source: RNAcentral
GACGAACGCUGGCGGCGUGCCUAAUACAUGCAAGUAGAACGCAGUUGCGAACGGGUGAGUAACGCGUAGGUAACUGCCUCAUAGCGGGGGAUAACUAUUGGAAACGAUAGCUAAUACCGCAUACUGUGAGAUGGACCUGCGUUGUAUUAGCUAGUUGGUGAGGUAAAGGCGCACCAAGGCGACGAUACAUAGCCGACCGGAGAGGGUUGUCGGCCACACUGGGACUUAGACACGGGCCAGACUCCUACGGGAGGCAGCAGUAGGGAAUCUUCGGGGAGGGACGGAAGUCUGACCGAGCAACGCCGGGUGAGGGAAGAAGGUUUUCGGAUCGUAAAGCUCCUUUGUUAGGUAAGCGGUAACGAACCAGAAAGUGACGGCUAACUACGUGCCAGCAGCCGCGGUAAUAC